CUUCCUCGACAAAAUCAUAUUCUUGUUGGAGAUGAGUGUCUUCUACAUCUGCGGGAGAAGAUGUAGCUAUACCCAUGAGAGCCUACCUAAAGCAUCGUUUUUUAGUCUUAAAGAACUAUGAAAUUACUGCUGAGGUUUUAAGGUUUCUUAUCUUCCUCCGCCAGAUUCUUUUCUUGCGAAGAUGAGCAACGACAAGACAGCAUGAACAUGGCCAAUCUCACCGCCGAACGAAGCCAUGGCAGGAGUUGGACCUAUAACUCAGGAUUGGGAGCCCGUUGUUAUCCGUAAGAAAGCCCCUAACUCCGCCGCCAAGCGUGACGAGAAAACUGUCAACGCCGCUCGUCGAUCCGGCGCCGAUAUCGAGACCGUCAGAAAAUUCAAUGCUGGAACCAACAAGGCUGCAUCAAGUGGCACAUCUCUCAACACCAAAAGGCUUGAUGAUGACACUGAGAACCUUACUCGUAUUUUAUUCUUCCCUCUUGUUAAUGCUCUAUCAACGUGUGCCAACUGAGCUAAUGAACGUGUGCCAACUGAGAUAACCCAGUAAUCUCCGGGCUUGUUCAUGCUCUUAAGUUUAUGAGACGUGUAGACUGGGAACCCAUUUGCCACAGAGCCUGGGAAAUCAAAUGGGUGGAAUGGGUGGAAUAACACAUUGCUUCUGGGAUAACACAUUGCUUCUGGGAUCUCAGCGAUUAUUUUCUGUCUUUGUCGAAUGGGUGGAAUGUGUGAGUAGCUAUCUGAAGUCUUUAUCAAAAGCGUUGAAAGGCCUAAAGCUUGCGUUACACAAACCAGAAAGAAGGCUCAGGGAGUCCUUGUAUGGUAGUGUACAUAGUAUGUCCAUUUCCUGAACCUUCAACAGUUUUAAGGCGAUUGUUGAAUCGUCUAUAGCACUUGGAUCAGUAAUACAGUCAGAUAGAGACAGGAGAUCGAUACUUAACAGUCAUGUUGCAAGGGCGUUUGGUAGUUCUGCUGCUGUUGACGAAACAUCAAUAUCUCACAUUCUGUCAUCCUCCCCUGACAAUGGAUCUUAUAAACCCAGGGAUUUUAUCAUUACACGCAUUGGGAAUUUUUUCGAGCUUGAAUACCUAGGUAAAUUGUUUUCUUUUAUACCUCUCUUUGACCCUUACAUUCUGUUCUUAAUCUGAUAUUUCAUCCCUCUCUUAUUUCAAUUGCGCCUGGGAAUAGAAUUCUCU
Molecule: non-coding RNA, 1193 nt
Organism: Camelina sativa (false flax)
Lineage: Eukaryota; Viridiplantae; Streptophyta; Magnoliopsida; Brassicales; Brassicaceae
Source: RefSeq, a predicted model, not a curated record